CCUACGGGAGGCAGCAGUGAGGAAUAUUGGUCAAUGGACGAGAGUCUGAACCAGCCAAGUAGCGUGAAGGAUGACUGCCCUAGGGGUUGUAAACUUCUUUUAUAUGGGAAUAAAAUGUUCCACGUGUGGGAUUUUGUAUGUACCAUAUGAAUAAGGAUAGGCUAACUCCGUGACAGAAGCCACGGUAAUACGGAGGAUCCGAGCGUUAUCCGGCUUUAUUGGGUUUAAAGGGAGCGUAGGUGGGUUGUUAAGUCAGUUGUGAAAGUUUGCGGCUUAACCGUAAAAUUGCAGUUGAAACUGGCAUUCUUGAGUACCGUAGAGGUGGGCGGAAUUCGUGGUGUAGCGGUGAAAUGCUUAGAUAUCACGAAGAACUCCGAUUGCGAAGGCAGCUCACUGGACUGCAACUGACACUGAGGCUCGAAAGUGUGGGUAUCAAACAGGAUUAGAUACCCCUGUAGUC
This 460-nucleotide ribosomal RNA is filed under the name uncultured bacterium. RNAcentral's name for it is "partial 16S ribosomal RNA". It matches the Rfam family "Bacterial small subunit ribosomal RNA", at positions 338 to 795 of the family's 1533-position model. The record is from RNAcentral.